GGAUGGCUGGGAGUGGACGGAAGGGUGGGGGAUCCAAAGAGGGUAUAGAAGGGGGAUGAGAUGUGAAGGUGCUCCGCUGUCCCCGCGUGUCAUUGGCGUGAAGAGGGAAAGGAUUGAGUUGAAGGCUGAGAGUAGGGUUGGGAAGCUGGGUGUCCCUGCCAGGGCUGGGGGCAGCAAUGUCUGUAUCAUGGCUCCAUGAGCAUGAGCUGUAAUACAGCAUUAUAUAGGCAUGACUUCAUCUGUUUCCAUAAGAUUGCUUUCUCCCUCUCCCUUUCUUUGGCUGGUAAUUGAGAAACGCAUGAGCUCACCUCCUAGGAGCGGGAAAUGAGAACCGCAAGAGGAAACGAGCUGGAAAGCAUAUACGGGGCCGGAAAAAAAAAACAUAGAUUAGGUGGGGGGGUGGUCAGAGAUACUAUGGAGAAGAAAAGGGAUUCCUCUUGCAUGGGAUCAUAGCCAUACAGGGCUUAUGACAACUUCCUCAGUUCUGCAGGCAGGGCCAGGGCCAGGGCAGCCCCACUGACAUCGUGUGGCAACCUUGUAGCCUUGAAAGCAUCCAGAGGAUUAGGACAGAAGGAUGAUGUAAUACAUAACAAUGUGGUGGGGAGCUCAACUGCAGGUUUUGGGGUGGAAACACAAGCCAUCUGCCCCAGCUGAAGAUGCUUAGAGAUGAGGAGGGUGUGAAUGCACCCAGGUGCUGGGGAUUUAAAAAGCCUGGGGAGAAGGGCUGAUGGCUUGUUUUUUGUUUUGUUGCUGUCAGUAGGAGAGUUGCUUAAGGCUGUGCUCUGGCCUUGGAUUUGGCUUGUAGGCAGGUUUACAUGAGUUCAAGGGCGGAAGUUCAUCAGAGAGAAAUCCACCAAGAUUAAGGACAUAGUGACUGCAGUAUUUGCAAGAAGUUGCUGAGCAGUAAUUGUUGGAAGUGGACACCAGUGGAAAGUACCAAAUAUGUCUGCUGAAGUUUAUUCCUCCUUGAGUGCCUAUUGUGGCUGCUGAUGGAGACAAGAUACUGAACUGUGAACUUUCAGCCUGCCUUGAUAUUUUCUUCGAGGAGAUUAUUCAUGGAGCAAGGAUCUAAAAUAAAAAUUGAGGAGGAUGGAGCAAAGCUGGGCUUUGGUAACAGAUGCUCAUUGUGACGUGAACGUAAUUUCAGUACCUGCAGAGGAGAAAUGACGACCGGAGCCACUCAAGCUUAAAGUUAUGCCCACCACCUGCCAUCCUGUCAUUGGACAUCACUGGGAAGAGCCUGACUCCAUCUUUCCUUCUCCAGUAAGAUUAAACUCCCUGUGGCUAAGAAUAGCUUCUGUGAUUGUGUGAGCAGCAGCAAAAUGUAAAAAGAGUGUGAACAAUGUGAAUGUCACUGGAGGCAAAAAUCCCACUCCACCCGUCGCGACACAGUCCACUUUGAUAUGUCUCCGGGUGGCGCUUGGCUAAUUUUGUAUCUUCCUCAGUGGGAUUCCCAGUUGAUGUGACAAAAGGGAUAGCAAAGUGAGAGCAAUCAUUUUGCAUCAAGUAAUGCCUCUGGUACUGCAAACAUGCUGAUAAUCAGAGACUGCCAACCCCAGAGGGCCACGAGCAUUGACCAAGCUGGAUGUUUUGUUCCAUAACAGACGGCUUGCUAUGAAGUACCCCAAGUCUUCAACUGAUGGAUUCUCAGGAGGUAGCUCCUGGCGUAGCCAUGCAUGCUUUGCUCCCUAACUGCUUGGAGAGGGCAAGAUAAAGGAGCUCUAAAUAAUGUUGGUGGGUUUUUUUUGUUUGUUUGGUUGGUUGGGUUUUUUGUUUGUUUUUUUGUUGUUUUGUUUUGUUUUGCUUUUUCCCAAAUUAUCUCUCAGGGGGCCCUGGUAUCCCGAUAGCUCUUGGUUCUCAGCAGUUUCUCAGAGGCAGAGUGGGAGACCCAGGACAGGAGGCCUCAGACAAGCUAGAAGGAUAUGAAGAGAAAGCUAAAGCUAAAACUGAGGCUGCUCAGUUGUUAUUUGGAGACUCAUCAUUAAAUGCCACUUUUCAGGGAAGAGAGAGCUGAGAAUAGCUCAAACUCUUGAAGCUGCAAAUAAACCUUUUAAAACAGAUCCCAGGUAGGAUGAAUUAAAUCUUAUGCCCUUGAGUUUGCUGGGAAACUGUACUGGAAAUGCUAAGUCAUGGCCUGAACCAGUGAUUGAGCACCUGGUAGGAAGGCAAUGCCAACCUAGGAGAGCUCAGCUGAAUGCAAUGCACCUGGUAGGGGUAGAUCCUGGCUCCACCCCUUCCCAGACCUCAUUUAAGGGUUGGCGGUGCCUUUCUGAAGGCUUCCAAAGGUAAGCAGCUUCAUUUCUUUGUUUAUAUGCCUAUGAUUGUUGUGUUUCAUCUAGUCAUCACUAGCUGCUCUGUCAGACUUAGCAGCUCUGCUGUCAUUGCUGCACUUUCCAUUGCAUUACAGAAGCUGAGGCAGUUUGUUUGAGACAUGUGCUGUGUCAGCAGCUUCAGUGUUUUCUUGCCCAAGUACCAUACCUAUUCAGAAACCUAGUGAGCAAACUGGUGACCAGAGUAGAACUAUAAUUUAAUGCAGCCAUCUGGGUUUGAAACAGUUUCUGUGUUGUCUGCUGGAGGAACAAAUAGGACAAGAAUACGAGAGAAGUAGUGAUGUACAGAAACAGUGUUAUUGCCAAACACUUGGUGAUGUCAAGUAAGUCAAGUGAUGGACUAUUUGGGAAUUAUGGACGUAGAUCUCUCUGAAAGUAAUGCUUUCUAUUUCCGUGGGAUCUACAGUAGAUACAGAGAGCACAGUAACUGUGAUAGAGAAAAUUCUCAGUAUUACAGAACACUAUUUUUCAGCAUUAGCUACCACUGUUAGCUAUGCAUUUUUGCCUGUGAUGAACAAGAAUCUGCAUGCUUGUAAAAAUCUGCACCAGUGGUGGUGUUCUACUGUUUUACAGCUGCUAUGAUGUCAUCAUUGAUAGGGAAGUGUUGCCUACACAGUCCAUCAUUCAUCAGCCCAAACAGAUGGAAGACGGACGGUGCCAAAUCUGGACUAUACAGUGGGUGUGGAAGGACAGUCCAGCCAAGGUUGAGAGUGUGUUCCAUGGCCUUCAAGCUGGUGCAAAGCUUGGCAUUAUCAUGUUGCGAGAGAGAGGUUGUCAUUUCUGGCCCGCCUUCAGUUCAGUCAGUAUUGUGAUGAUUUAUCUGGAUUCCAGGAAACACAGAAGGAUCACCCCUUUUUAUCCCCAAAAGACAGCACACACUGCUGGGAGUUGUGUCUUGAACUCUUUCUUCAACAGAUGAUUUUCUUUAGGAGAGAGGAUGAUGGGGACAUAAUCUGUCCAAGAAGCUGGAAGAAUACCCUCAAUGGUCCCUGUGCUCCUGUCAUGAAAUUACGAAAUCUGUAUUCAAAAUGUGCUUACAGUUCAUGUUUCUGUGUCUAAGACACCAGUGAUGUUUCCAGCCACGUCUCAUUGAAAAUCUCUUUCCCUCACUUCAUUACUGGAGGUCAAGUGGCUGCUUCAUAGACUAAGCUGUGACAAGUCAAAGCCAAGACCACUGAGUUUGUGCCUUUUUUUUCCCCAGUUCUAACAUUCCACUGCAGUACUCCUCAAAACUAUGAAAUAAUUUGCGUUUUUAUUGGUUUAUUUUUCUACAAGAAUAAAAGAUUCCCUUCUCCAUGUCCUUACUCUUUGCCAAGCAAGAACCUAGCUGGUUGGAAACCUAAUUUUUCAGAUCAGUGUUGGCAGAUACCAGGAGAAGGCAGGGAAAGAGGAUCUUGCAGGGCUCCCUGUAAAAGCUGGCAUGAUUUUGAUGAGCAAGGCAUUCCUUAGGAUGCAUGCAGCUGGGAGUGCAGCAGCAAAGCGGGGAGAGAAAAGACAGCAGAUGUGAAAGGUUCUUAUUUGCUUUAUUGAUAAUGUAUUACAAAUGAAAAGUACAAUAGGUGCACAAUCUGGGAAGUGUGCAUCUUGCCUAUUGCUGAGUGCAGACAAGUGACACUGUCAGUGAUGCAUCAGUGCCUUUCCCAGGCUUCCUCACAGCCAUAUAAAACAUCAGUGGACAACUGUAUAUACAAAAUAAUAAUAAUAUUAAUAAAAUAAAAAACAACAAACACAGUUCUUCCCUUUGUUUCGUGCAACAUCACCAAAGAAAAAGAGCUUUUCAGAGCAGAAUGAUGAAAUGGAUGAAGCUUUGAGGAAACAAGGAAGCAAAGAAAUCAGUCAGUAGGAUCAGUCUGUCCUGACAGCAUUGGCACUACUCGUUGAACACUAAGAAAACAGCUCAGCUGUUUUCUGGAUUUAAAAAUGAAAACUGAUCUCAGAAAUAACAUCGAAGAAUGGGAAAAGAAGAAGAGUACAUAAUUAGUAUUUUUUUUUCUUCUCCUAAAUCUCCCCAUACCCAGAAUAAACUAAGACAGUGAUUUACACACCUUGCAAAGGUUGUGGCCACCUCCCUGCAGCAGGCUGCACACUCUCUCCUUUCCUCUAUCCCACUGAGAAUCUCAUGGCAAAAAUGCCCUCUGAGGUGAUGCCUUAUGCAAAAGUCCCUUGCCCUUUGCCUUAUGCAGAGCUCAACAAUAGCACUGAGAUCAAGGGAGUGAUUUUUUCCUGGGGCACCGAUCACCAUUACAGAUUUCUCUCUUGGCUUCUUUGCUUCUUCAUCCCCAUGUAUGUCAGAAGAGCACAAGAAGUCGCUGGAAGAGACCGACUGGAGGUUUUAUGGGUGUACAGACCCACUCCAAGCUGUGGAAAUGCUCCCCAAGGAUCUCCAAGCUAUGCCUGUGACUUAUUUAUGGACCUGCAAUGGAAAUUUGCAGGCAACAGAAGUAACUUAAGGUCCCUCAGAAGAAGCAAAUGUCCCAUCACAGCCAGUCUCACCCACUCAAGGGACUUUGCUGUACAAGAGCAGGCUCAGAGCUUCCUGGGGCUGCUUAGAUCUACCCUUGUAAGUCAGUGUGCUCUUUGCUGUGCCUGGGGGCACAUUUUAAACAAUUUCCCAGUUUUCCAGUGAGCCCUGAUUUAUCACUCUGCUCUGGACCCAUGGCAGCUGAGGUGGAAAAGAGCCACUUUCUGAUAUGCAGCAACAGAUGUACUUCCACUCCUUGCCAGCAUCCCUGGCCUCACUACCCAAACCUCAACGUGUUUCUGUGCAUUUGUCCCACCAAUGCAACCACCACAAGCACCAGGAUGCAGAAGGUGUCAAGGUUGUUGGCAUCCCGGGAAGGAAGAGAGCUCAGAGCAUCCGUUGCCAUUUUUUUUUAAACAAAGGCUUCAUGGCUCAACAUUGCAAGGUAAUAACAAACAAAAUGAUUAUACAUUAAAAUUCUUCCUCUCUUGAGACUCCCCUAGCCCUCCCCUCAAAACCACGAAAUAGAAUACAAUUCAAGUAGUCUUUUUGUUUGUUUGUUUGUUUUAAAUGUAUGGAUAUAUAAGACAAAGCAAGUACAGAACUGGUUAACAGAGUGUCCCCAUUUUAUUAGCAAGUGAGAGUAUAUCAUAGGGAGAUGUAAUUGAUUCCCCCUUUUUUAUGGUUCCUAGACAGAUAAUAUAUAUUAUUUUAAAAACCAACCUAUUUUACAGCCCUCUGUCCACCUCUCCAACCCAUCUGCUCAUUGAGUCCUGGGCCUCAAGCAAGAGACUUGCCUUUUCCCUGCCUGUGAACCUAUCCCAGCCAUCAGGCAGAAGGAGGCCACCACACUGAUGGAAGUCACCAGGCUGGCAAAGGCCACCGUGAUGACAGAAGCCGUCUAUGUUGACGGAGACCAUCCAUGUUCAUGAUGGCCAUCCAUGCUGACAGAGGCCAUCCAUCAUCCUGACUGAGGCCAUCACACUGAUGGAGAAAAUCACAUUGAUGGAAGCCACCAUGGUGACGGAGAGCGUCCAUCAUGUUGACCAAGGCCAUCACAUUGUCUGAGGUCACCAUGCUGAUGGAAGUCACCAUGCUGACUGAGGCCAUCGCACUGGUGGAGGCCACUAUGCCAGGGGAGGACGCUUGCCCCAUGGUGGGGAGAGGGUCCACAUCAUUCCAAAGGAACAUCCUCCACAGCCUUGGGCAUGGGGCAAGGGGAGGAGGGCAGGGGGUUCUGCAAGAAGGACGCAAGGGGCAAGAGAAGGAAAAGGAGAUGGAGGGACAGGGGGCUGGCACUUCCGCACAGCGAGCAAGCCGUCGGGGUUGAGAAAAUGGAGAAGCUGAUCUUCACCAGGGUCCACGCAGAAGCAGGGCCUGGAGUUGUAACCGGCAAUACCUUUGCCAUUCAGAACAGUUUGUAUCUAGAACAGUUUGUAUCUAGAACAGUUCCCUUUUAGUCUAAAUCAUCUUGUUUUUUGUUUUUUUUCCUUAAAAAAAUAAAAGAAAAAAGAAAAAAAAAAAAAAGAAUGCGUGUAGAUGUAUUUCUGUGUGUGCGUGCAUCUGUGUACAUGAGUGACAGCCAACUAGCUCAUAUGGUCAUGACCAAGCUAUAUUUCAGAAGAGAAAAGAAACACAUUUAUCACACUUUUCCUAAAACGAAAAGCUAAAAUUUCAAGUUCAGUAUUCGCUAUCUUGUCCUUCCCUCCCCACCCUCCUUUGCUAUUUCUGGGUUUUUUCCCUUCCAACUUACUUUAGCACCAUAACACAUUUUAAACAUUACAAUCCCUCUUCAGAUACUACACAAAAUGUCCCAUAAAAAUAGUGCUUUUUUGCCAAAAAAGUUAUAUAAUAUAUUAUAUAUAUAAGUCAACUAAAUCCGUGGCAAAUGUGCAAUGCAGACGCCUCCCCCAUUUAAAGUGAGCAUCAGCUCACUUCUUUUUUUUCCCCCCCCCCCCCCUUUUCCUUUUUCUUCUCUCUCUCUCUCUCCUCUUCCUCUCUUUCUCCCGUCAGUGAUGGUUUCAAAAAGGUGCAAGUCAAUUUGGAAUCUUGUAAUUAAGCACACACACAAAAAAUGCAGAUGGGUCUCCUCGGAACUUCGUCUCAGUUACAUUUUCUUUUUAAAGGUGCAAAAAAAAAAAAAAAAAAAAAAAAA
Molecule: non-coding RNA, 6946 nt
Organism: Coturnix japonica (Japanese quail)
Lineage: Eukaryota; Metazoa; Chordata; Aves; Galliformes; Phasianidae
Source: RefSeq, a predicted model, not a curated record